Molecule: non-coding RNA, 109 nt
Organism: Acanthosepion pharaonis
Lineage: Eukaryota; Metazoa; Mollusca; Cephalopoda; Sepiida; Sepiidae
Source: the annotation of a GenBank genome assembly
GUCACAUCACAUUGACACACCAGUCUCCAUAUGAUCACUGAAGUUAAGCAAUGUUGAGCCAGGUCAGUACCAAGAUGAGUGACAACUUGGAAAUACCAGAUGCUGUAAG